This 253-nucleotide ribosomal RNA is filed under the name uncultured bacterium. RNAcentral describes it as "partial 16S ribosomal RNA". It matches the Rfam family "Bacterial small subunit ribosomal RNA", at positions 524 to 776 of the family's 1533-position model. The record is from RNAcentral.
UACGGAGGGUGCAAGCGUUGUUCGGAAUUACUGGGCGUAAAGCGCGUGUAGGCGGCUUGGUAAGUCGGUUGUGAAAGCCCAGGGCUUAACCCUGGAAAUGCGACCGAAACUGCCUCGCUAGAGUCUCGGAGAGGAAGGCAGAAUUCCCAGUGUAGGGGUGAAAUCCGUAGAUACUGGGAGGAAUACCGGUAGCGAAGGCGGCCUUCUGGACGAUGACUGACGCUCAGACGCGAAAGCGUGGGGAGCAAACAGG